GAUGAACGCUAGCUACAGGCUUAACACAUGCAAGUCGAGGGGUAGCAGGGUAGCAAUACCGCUGACGACCGGCGCACGGGUGAGUAACACGUAUCCAACCUACCGUUUACUCGGGGAUAGCCUUUCGAAAGAAAGAUUAAUACCCGAUAGUACAAAGAGUUCGCAUGUUCUCUUUAUUAAUGGAUUCCGGUAAAUGAUGGGGAUGCGUUCCAUUUGAUUGUUGGCGGGGUAAUGGCCCACCAAGUCUUCGAUGGAUAGGAGUUCUGAGAGGAAGGUCCCCCACAUUGGAACUGAGACACGGUCCAAACUCCUACGGGAGGCAGCAGUGAGGAAUAUUGGUCAAUGGGCGUUAGCCUGAACCAGCCAAGUAGCGUGAAGGAUGACUGCCCUAUGGGUUGUAAACUUCUUUUAUAAGGGAAUAAAACGGGGAACGUGUUCCCCUUUGCAUGUACCUUACGAAUAAGGAUCGGCUAACUCCGUGCCAGCAGCCGCCGUAA
This 497-nucleotide ribosomal RNA is filed under the name uncultured bacterium. Its description in RNAcentral is "partial 16S ribosomal RNA". It matches the Rfam family "Bacterial small subunit ribosomal RNA", at positions 28 to 523 of the family's 1533-position model. The record is from RNAcentral.